This 543-nucleotide ribosomal RNA is filed under the name Bifidobacterium breve. Its description in RNAcentral is "bacterial SSU rRNA". It matches the Rfam family "Bacterial small subunit ribosomal RNA", at positions 147 to 699 of the family's 1533-position model. The record is from RNAcentral. Lineage: Bacteria; Bacillati; Actinomycetota; Actinomycetes; Bifidobacteriales; Bifidobacteriaceae.
CUCCUGGAAAACGGGUGGUAAUGCCGGAUGCUCCAUCACACCGCAUGGUGUGUUGGGAAAGCCUUUGCGGCAUGGGAUGGGGUCGCGUCCUAUCAGCUUGAUGGCGGGGUAACGGCCCACCAUGGCUUCGACGGGUAGCCGGCCUGAGAGGGCGACCGGCCACAUUGGGACUGAGAUACGGCCCAGACUCCUACGGGAGGCAGCAGUGGGGAAUAUUGCACAAUGGGCGCAAGCCUGAUGCAGCGACGCCGCGUGAGGGAUGGAGGCCUUCGGGUUGUAAACCUCUUUUGUUAGGGAGCAAGGCACUUUGUGUUGAGUGUACCUUUCGAAUAAGCACCGGCUAACUACGUGCCAGCAGCCGCGGUAAUACGUAGGGUGCAAGCGUUAUCCGGAAUUAUUGGGCGUAAAGGGCUCGUAGGCGGUUCGUCGCGUCCGGUGUGAAAGUCCAUCGCUUAACGGUGGAUCCGCGCCGGGUACGGGCGGGCUUGAGUGCGGUAGGGGAGACUGGAAUUCCCGGUGUAACGGUGGAAUGUGUAGAUAUCG